GACCUGAGGGGCUAGAUAUCUUUACUGUUUAUCAGGGCCAAAAUGAUUUCUCUUAACAUUUGAGAUUUUUCAUUCCUCGUGCUUCUUCCAACACAAACCCUUGCAUGUAUUCUCCUAUGAUGUUUUUCAAAUCUUCAAUCUUCCAAAGCUAUCUGCAGGCUAUCAUCUCCAAAUGAAUAUCCCCUCUUCGAGAUAAGCCGAACACAGUCACUUAGAAGGCCUCAAUUAUUCUAUGGUUGGGCCCGUGUAGGAACAGGCGCUCCUUCUCCUCGCUUCACGAACUACCAAGGGGAUUUGGCUCUAAAGCUUGAAGCAUGUCAAGGAAUACUAUUAUAUGUACAGCCUUCUCACACCGCGGAGCUCUUUUCUUACUUGGUUGAGCUUCAGACUUCCCCAGAAACACUCCUGUGUAAAUACCUCAUCGAAGAUUUGGAUGCCUCCUCUGCCUAUGAUAAAGUCAGAUAGAUUGGUGACCCUAAAAAUCAUGCUGGUUACCCAAUUUACCAUCAUCUUCAAUUGGCAUAUGUUAGUUUUCUUAAAAAAUGAAUGCUCUUUGUAGACAAGACAUUAUGUGACCACAUAAAUAUUGUUGGAAAUUAUUUCUUUUCUUUGCACAAGACACAUUAUUUGCACCUUGUAAAGAUUUUAUUUUCAGAUUGUAGGGUGGCUAUGGUAUUUGGGACAAAUCAAUCCGUAAUCGGAUUACAUUAGCCCCUGCCACAGUGAAUUAUUAUGUAAAUUUCAACCUAUCAUGUCCUUCUUCAUCAUAUCAAAGAAUGUUUGGAGAUCUCAGCAAGGAAUUUUUUUUUCCUUCAGUUCGUAUAUCUUUGAAUUCUUUUACCUUUUAACAUAUUGAUCAUUUUCUAUUCCUGUUGUAGGUAGAAUUGGGGUAUGCAGCAUACUAUAAAUCUUGAUUAUUAUUUGAUUUAUUGACUAUCAAAUUUUACUUUUGGACUGCUUUUUUAAUAGUGAUGCGUGAUCAACACGUGUUUUUUCUGUUAAAGAUACGGUGGUUGUCACAAGUUGAUUUUAUAUUGUUCAUUUUGGAUGCAUUUGACAUUCUAGAAUUUGAUUACUUGGAAAUGAAGAUUUGUAUAACUGGGUUGAUUUUGGGGUGGUGACACAUGAUAGAGAAGCAGAUGGACCCAGGUAAAAUUUAGCUCUUAUUGAAAACAAUCAAAAUUCCUUUCCAUUGAAAUUCAUAUUUGAGGAUAAGGAACUUCCCAUCUCCACUAGAGAAAUCAGAAUGAGAGAUAGAACUUGAAUCUCUUUUUUGUGAUUGAAUAUGGGUCUUAGGGAAAGUGAUCCUGGCUGCAUGAAUCCUUCUACAGUAAUUUCAAAUUCUUUCUUGAUUUGAUUUCAGGUAUAUCAUUAGUUUCAGUUUAAAUUGUAAUGAUAUUGUAUUACUAAAUGUUUUAUUUUGUAUGUUUCUUUUUAAAUUUAUUCUGCAAUAGUGAUAAGAAUUGUUAUCACUUUAGUUUAUGCAUUCCUAUAUACAAUUUGGACUAUCACUUUGGUAGGUUCUAAAUGUAAUCUAUUAUUUGGUUCAUUCUGCAUAAACUUGAAGAGAUAUAGUCAUAAAUUAUCUUUGAAAAUUAUUUACCUUUAGAUGUUAAUAUUUAUUUUACUUGAUAAAAAUUAAAAACACGUCUUAGUAGAUUCGCUCUCUAUGAAGUGCUGCAUUUCUAAGUAAUUUUCUUCCUCCUUGAUUGUCUUCCCAGCCUAAUCAACAUGCAAUUAGGAUUUUUCUUAAAGAAGUGUUUUUCCUUCUACAUACCUUGUAGGAAUGUUCGAUUUUCUGACACUAGGCUAGAAUCCAUUUCAUUGUUUGGAAAACUUUUGUAUAUGAAGAUUUGAUAGUGUGUGUUUGCGAUUUUGGGUUAAAUUGAUAUAUGUAGUGCCGUUUCAUUUCAAUGAUGCUUGCAAGUGUUUUUGGUUUAUUAUUUUUAUUUUGGUGUAGAAAAUGGACAAGGGACCGUGCUCGAAGAUACAUUCAUUGCAACUGAGAAAAGAGUUUCUCUAUGUAACGUUGAUAUACAACUUAUGUCAAUUUUUUGUAUGUUUACCUAUUAAUGUUUUGCAAUAGUGAAAUUGUAAUACAAUUUUGUGAAGCUAUUAUUUGUUAACACUUAACAUAAAAUAAUUUUUUAAGUAUAUUAAUAUGGGUCAGACAAGUAUUAAGUUUCAAGAAUAUUAGUGGUUGAUCCUUUGGAAAGUUAUUCUAUAAAAGAAUAUUUCAAAUUAAGUUUUGGUACAAGUGACAAAAUGGAAUUUGAAGAACUGCUCUCUAUUCCUAGAAAAGUGGCCCAUCAUUCAAGGAAUAACUUGUUAUUGAUGAAAGGGAAAACUAGGAUAAUAUCGUUCUUUCCUGUAUGAUUGUUGAAAUAUUUUUGUGCAUAUAUCUCAUUUUGGGAACAAAAAAUCUAUGCUUUAAAACUUUCACUAGACCCCGUUGAUUACCUGUAGUUACUUAUGCAAAUAUUUGUUAACACUAUUGUAAUGCAAACAUUCAUACCUUUGUAACUUGAUAUUCAAGUAGGUAGUGUGAUUCUCUUUCAACCUAACCUUUGAACAAGUGCAAUUUUUUAUGUUGGGAUCCCAUUCAUCAACUUGAUUGAGAAGGAAAAAGAAGAUUUCAGGAUUUGUUGCAGUUUUAAGCUUCAAAGAUAGACUCUGAUGCGAAGGAUGCCGUUAAUGGAAGAAGCAUUACCUGGUGAUUUGGGUUUUAUAUUUUGGCUUGGGAUGUACGUCAAAUUGCAAUGGAUCAUAUGUUUAUAGAUGUGGUGCACAUGCAUUGGGGUUGAACAUCUUUCGAGAGUCUUUAAGCAUAUGCUGAAGGGGUGUUUCUUACUCCAUGUUACCUCUCCUUUCUUUAGUUAUUACAAGUCACCUUUUCGUUUCAUGUUCAGUUUAUUUAGGUUAGACUGUAAUAUAUACCAUCAUAGCACUAUGGUUGUAGCCUAGAUGAAUGAUGCAAACAAUUAUGAUUUUAGUUGGAAUGAGUGUAUGAAAUAUAAAAUAGUAGAAAAAAUAGGGAUCUGAGAUAUGAUCUAUAGACGAAAGAGAACAAUUAAUAAGCUGUCAUCGAGUGCAUAGGGAUUUUUCUUGCUAACCAUACUUGGUUUAUAAGCUUAAUGGCUUUGGAUGCAUACCAUGUCUUUUCCAUAUUUCUCAUUUGUAAGGAACAAAACAUGCCAUUUUAGUAAUGCAUAAUGUCCUGGAGUUGAACAUAGUUCAUAAUUCCUUUAAUUGAUGUGCCACAAAUUUGAAAUUAUUUUGCGUUUCAAUUUUACUUAUCAUUUGUGAGCCAUUACAAAGUUUUAGUUUCUUUUUUAUGGUUGAUGUUGAUUUUCUUUUCGCGGAUGCGCUAGAUAUCAAAUUCCAAGCAUGGACCAUGCACCCUUAAGAUCAUAUUCUGCACAUAUAGAUCUCAGUGUGAAAUUCCAUAGUCAUUAUAGCAGGUAAUCAUGUCUAACCUUGAAUAUGUUACAUAGAUCUGUAUAUAAAUAGGCAUAUAUUAUAUGUAAAUUAUUAUUGUUAUCAUCAUCAGCAUCAUCAUCAUUAUUUGUUUCCUCUCAUUUGUUUUCGCUUGUUCAUGAUAUAUAAUAUAUAGGUGAUUUUGUUUCCUUUUUAAAGGUUUAUAUCAUUAUAUCAUUCAUGUUAAUUGUGUUUUCUAUUGAUUUGGGGACUAUACCAAUUUUGGCUUUUCUUGUUUCCCCUUCCUUAAGGCAAUAAACUUUGUAGAACUUGGAACAAAGAUGAAGUGUUGUAAGGCUACCAAAAAAGUAAACUAUUUGCACAUAACUGGUGUCUUCCAACAAGCUCUUGCCAUUUCUGUUAGAUCUGAUCAAAAAUCAAAACCUAAAUAUUAAUAUGAGCUACUGGAAUGAGUUUCACAAAAUAUCAAUCAAUCACUCUAUAUGUGUGUGGAUCGUUUUCAGGCGACGGUGGUGGUGGAGGAGAGGUGAAUCGGUGUUUUUUUAUGGUGUGGCUGGUGGUAGGAGAAGUGGUGGAAUGGAAUUGGUAGGGUAGAGUCAGUUGUGACCAACUCUUAUAUAAUUGUGACCAAUAAAACAUAUAAAUUGUGACCUAAAAAAUGUAUGAUUUUGUGAUUAUUCGUGAUAGAGAAAUAAAUUAUAUCCAAUUAACUAUUGUGAAAUAAGUUGGGACCUAUAUAUUUUGUGAUCGAGAAAUAAAAUAUGUAACUGUAUGUGAUCAAAUCUGUGUUAACACUGACAUGUAUAACUAGACACCUGGUAACAGUGAAUGUUUGGAACAAAAAAUGUUUACAUUUUAAGUUUGUGAACAAUUAUCUAUCUUGAUUGUGACUAUCUGUGACCAAAUCUAUCUUAAUUGUGAUUGGUGACCAAGUCUGUGUUUAUUGUAACUAUAUGUGACCAAGUCUGUGUUAAUAGUGACAUAUGUUAAAAAAAAAUGUUUGUGACAAACGUUGUUUACAUUUGAAGUUUGUGACCAUUUAUAUGCUAAUUAUAAUCGUAUGUAACCAAGUUUGUUUUAAUUGUGGCUAGUUAUGAUGAAGUUUGUCUUUAUUGUGAUUGUCUGUGACUAUGUGUUUUAAUUGGAAUUGUAUGUAAUCAAAUCUAUGUUAACAGUGACAUAUGUAACUAGACAUCUAUUAAGAGUGAAUAGUUUUUACAAAUUCUGUUUACAUUUAAAGUUUGUGAUCAUUUAUACAUUAAUUGUGAUCAGUAAUGUGUUGUAACCUAUAGUCUAAUGAUGACAUGUUAUUAAAAAUCAGAAAUGCUACUGGUACAUUAAGGCAUCCAUCAUGAUAUCCAACCUGAUGACGUGGCAUUUUUUUGCCCCAAUUUCUUGCGCCCAUAAGGAAGACAAAAAAUAAAAACGCACAAGCCAUCGCGAGCCCUAGCCUCUCUUUCAUUUUCAUUCAUUCACUCCCUCCACUCACUGCCCACCUCCUGCAGGCCCUUCGUCACCGUUCCCGGAGCUCGACGACGGCGACGCCGUCGACAGUCAGUUCCAGAACGAGCCCAGCGUCUGUCUCCAUUUUCACGUUCAAUCCGGUGUCAAUUCCCAGAAGCUCCACUCACUGCCCACUGCCUGCAACCACACCCUUCCUUCAUCCUCGGCGCCCAACGACGGCGUCUCCGCCUCCUCAAAGCAGUCGGCACCCUCAUAAUGGAAGGGUUUGCAGAGCAAUUUCUGUCGUUCCCCGAUGUGGUUGCCGGCCGAUUUGAAGACACCACCGGUUCAAAUGAGAACGAUAGGUAUAUUGAAGGAGGACAUGAUGUUUAGGACAACAUGGUUGCAGAGAUCGCCGACCACGGAGUGGAUGAUGGCAUUCUUGAAGGAGUGGAUGUUAGCUUGUCUAAUAUUGUGGGUGACGAUGAUUUGGCCAACAAAAUGGCAGUUGUUGAAAAUGAGAUAGUCGUGCCUACAGUUGGUAUGAAAUUUGCGAACGAGAUUGAGGUAUUCGAAUUCUACAAGAAAUAUGCUUAUCAUGUAGGAUUUCCUGUUAGAAAACAAACUACAAAGAGGGGAGAUGAUGGGAUAGUAUGGAGUGUAAGUUUUACCUGUAGUCGAGAAGGGCUACAAAAUCGUAACCAAAGCACUUCCUUGAAUCCUCCACCAACAAUCUAAACUGGGUGUAAAGCUAGAUUGACUGCGUCCUCUGAUGCACGUGGAAUAUUUCGAAUAAAUGUUGUGCAUUUAGAGCAUAACCAUAAAACAAGCCCAUCUAAGUCUAGGUUGUACAAAUGUAAUAGGCAAGUUAGUGAAUGUGUGAAAAGAAGGCUUGAGGUAAAUGACAUAGUAGGAAUACCAUUACAUAAGAGCUUUAAUUCAACUGUAGUGGAGGCAGGUGGUUUUGAUAACAUGACAUGUAUUGAGAAAGAUUGCAGAAACUUCAUCAAGAAAGUGCGGCGUUUAAGACUUGGGGAAGGGGAUGUCGUUGCAAUCCAAGCAUAUUUCUCAAAAAUGCAAACUCGUAGUCCUGGUUUUUUCUUUUGUAUGGACUUGGAUGAUGAUUGUUGGUUGAGAAAUGUGUUUUGGGCAGAUAACAGAUGUCGUGAAGCAUAUAAGGAAUUUGGGAAUGUCGUUACAUUUGAUACCACAUACCUCACUAACAAGUAUGAUAUGCCUUUUGCUCUUUUCGUGGGAGUCAAUCACCAUGGGCAGUCAACUCUUCUUGGUUGUGGUUUGGUUUCAAAUGAAGAUAUUGACACAUUUGUUUGGUUAUUUCGGACAUGGCUAGAAUGCAUGAAUGGUCAAGCCCCUAAUGAAAUAAUUACAGAUCAAGAUCGAGCUAUGUAAAAUGCUAUUCAAAUUGUCUUUCCUAACACAAACCAUAGAUGGUGCUUAUGGCAUAUACUAAAGAAGUUACCGGAAAAGUUUGGCUAUCACAAAGCCAAAUGCUCAAUAUUGCAUGCUAUACAUGUGUUAGUUUACGACACUUUAAUUUGUGAAGAAUUUGAGGUUGGUUGGUUGAAUAUGCUUGAUCAUUUCGAAUUACAAGAUCAUGACUGGUUGAGUGGACUCUAUAAAGAGAGAAGUCGUUGGGUACCAUGUUACCUAAACACUACAUUUUGGGCCGGUAUGUCAACCACACAAAGGAGUGAGAGCAUGAAUGCAUUUUUCGAUGGCUAUGUGCAUUCGAAAACUUCUUUGAAGCUUUUUGUUGAGCAAUAGGAGCAGGUGUUGCGAAGUAAAGUGGAGAAAGAAUUUCAAACUGAUUUUAGAUCAUUUUCACAAAUGAUUCCAUGUGCCACUAAGUACGAUAUGGAGAAACAAUUUCAAAGUGUGUAUACUAUCACAAAAUUUAGAGAGUUCCAACAAGAAUUCACGGGGAAGGUAUACUGUGAAGUCUUAUCUACGGCAGACUUUCCUGGGCAAACGAAGUACUAAGUACGUAAGGAUAUCAUUCUCAGUGAAGGAAUGAAGAAAAGAAUAUUUACAGUUCAUUUCCGUAGAGAUAGUUGUGAGAUUGAGUGCAAUUGUCAUUUGUUUGAGUUUCGAGGCAUCAUUUGCAAACACUCAAUAUCAGUUUUUAAUUCAGAAUGACGUACAAUUGCUUCUGGAGAAGUAUGUCUUGCGGAGAUGGAGGCAAGAUGUUAGUAGACCAUAUAUGCGGGUUCCAGCGACGUACGAUGGUUUGGUUUGUACAACUGAACAAUUAAGGUACGAGAGAUUGUGUCAUGCUUUUACCAAGAUGGCAGACUUAGUAGCGCGAAACGAAGAACGGUCCAAUCAUCUGUUGGGGUGGAUUGAAUUCCAAACAAAUCAAUUAUCUAAUUUAGACAUUGGUAGCUCGGGUUUGCAUGUGCCUGAAGCUCGAAAUGAUGAAAUCCUGAACAUUCUGGACCCGAAGCUUAUGAAAAGAAAGGAUGACCCAAAAAAAUUGCGCAAAAAGAGUCCGUUGGAGGCGAGUUCAAAAAAAUCAAAGGAUCGAAAAAAGGUUCCAGCAAACACACAAAAUGAUGACGAGCCCGAAGAUCACUGCAUCUUAUCUUCUCAAACACAUCAGCCUUUUGUAACGCAAGAGAGUGUUGACGGUCUUUGACGUUUGUAAUGAAAUCCGUGAAUAUGGGAUGAGGCAGAAUCUAGUAUCUUUAUGGAUGUGUUCUUUUUUUCCAAGAUGUACAGCCUCUUUAUUUUGAUCAUGGCUAUUUUGAAUUAGCUUCUUGUACUUUUGUUAUAUAAACAUUAGUAAUAUGGCUUCUUGCACUUUUGAUUUCAUUUAGUGAUGCAUAAACAUUUUAAAUUA
Molecule: RNA transcript, 7741 nt
Organism: Olea europaea var. sylvestris
Lineage: Eukaryota; Viridiplantae; Streptophyta; Magnoliopsida; Lamiales; Oleaceae
Exons: 6
Source: RefSeq, a predicted model, not a curated record